Molecule: ribosomal RNA, 497 nt
Filed under: uncultured bacterium
Lineage: Bacteria
Description: partial 16S ribosomal RNA
Rfam family: Bacterial small subunit ribosomal RNA
Source: RNAcentral
GAUGAACGCUGGCGGCGUGCCUAAUACAUGCAAGUCGAGCGAACGGACGAGAAGCUUGCUUCUCUGAUGUUAGCGGCGGACGGGUGAGUAACACGUGGAUAACCUACCUAUAAGACUGGGAUAACUUCGGGAAACCGGAGCUAAUACCGGAUAAUAUUUUGAACCGCAUGGUUCAAAAGUGAAAGACGGUCUUGCUGUCACUUAUAGAUGGAUCCGCGCUGCAUUAGCUAGUUGGUAAGGUAACGGCUUACCAAGGCAACGAUGCAUAGCCGACCUGAGAGGGUGAACGGCCACACUGGAACUGAGACACGGUCCAGACUCCUACGGGAGGCAGCAGUAGGGAAUCUUCUGCAAUGGGCGAAAGCCUGACGGAGCAACGCCGCGUGAGUGAUGAAGGUCUUCGGAUCGUAAAACUCUGUUAUUAGGGAAGAACAUAUGUGUAAGUAACUGUGCACAUCUUGACGGUACCUAAUCAGAAAGCCACGGCUAGCUACGUG